This 163-nucleotide small nuclear RNA is filed under the name Carassius auratus (goldfish). RNAcentral describes it as "U1 spliceosomal RNA (ENSCARG00000065695.1)". It matches the Rfam family "U1 spliceosomal RNA". From Rfam's summary of the family: U1 is a small nuclear RNA (snRNA) component of the spliceosome (involved in pre-mRNA splicing). Its 5' end forms complementary base pairs with the 5' splice junction, thus defining the 5' donor site of an intron. Lineage: Eukaryota; Metazoa; Chordata; Actinopteri; Cypriniformes; Cyprinidae. The record is from Rfam by way of RNAcentral.
AUACUUACCUGGCAGGGGAGACACCAUGAUCAAGAAGGCGGUUCACCCAGGGCGAGGCUUGUCCAUUGCACUCCGGCCAUGCUGACCCUGCGAAUUCCCCAAAUGCGGGAAUCUCGACUGCAUAAUUUAUGGUAGUGGGGGACUGCGUUCGCGCUCUCCCUGA